RNAcentral lists this transfer RNA (75 nucleotides) under Kofleriaceae bacterium. Its description in RNAcentral is "tRNA-Val". It matches the Rfam family "tRNA". From Rfam's summary of the family: Transfer RNA (tRNA) molecules are approximately 80 nucleotides in length. Their secondary structure includes four short double-helical elements and three loops (D, anti-codon, and T loops). Lineage: Bacteria; Pseudomonadati; Myxococcota; Haliangiales; Kofleriaceae. The record is from RNAcentral.
GCGAGCGUAGCUCAGCGGGAGAGCGCCGCCUUCACACGGCGGAUGUCGUAGGUUCAAUCCCUACCGCUCGUACCA